Molecule: ribosomal RNA, 493 nt
Filed under: uncultured bacterium
Lineage: Bacteria
Description: partial 16S ribosomal RNA
Rfam family: Bacterial small subunit ribosomal RNA
Source: RNAcentral
AUUGAACGCUGGCGGCAUGCUUUACACAUGCAAGUCGAACGGUAACAGGUUAAGCUGACGAGUGGCGAACGGGUGAGUAAUGCAUCGGAACGUGCCCGGUCGUGGGGGAUAACGCAGCGAAAGCUGCGCUAAUACCGCAUACGAUCUAAGGAUGAAAGCGGGGGACCGUAAGGCCUCGCGCGAUGGGAGCGGCCGAUGUCAGAUGAGGUAGUUGGGGGGGUAAAGGCUCACCAAGCCAACGAUCUGUAGCUGGUCUGAGAGGACGACCAGCCACACUGGGACUGAGACACGGCCCAGACUCCUACGGGAGGCAGCAGUGGGGAAUUUUGGACAAUGGGCGAAAGCCUGAUCCAGCAAUGCCGCGUGCAGGAAGAAGGCCUUCGGGUUGUAAACUGCUUUUGUACGGAGCGAAAAGGUCUCCUCUAAUACAGGGGGCUCAUGACGGUACCGUAAGAAUAAGCACCGGCUAACUACGUGCCAGCCGCCGCAGUAA